RNAcentral lists this ribosomal RNA (890 nucleotides) under uncultured archaeon. Its description in RNAcentral is "bacterial SSU rRNA". It matches the Rfam family "Archaeal small subunit ribosomal RNA", at positions 4 to 899 of the family's 1478-position model. The record is from RNAcentral.
CCGGUUGAUCCUGCCGGAGGCUACCGCUAUUGGAGUUCGAUUAAGCCAUGCGAGUCGCGAGUCUUAGGGACUCGGCGUACCGCUCAGUAACACGUGGGUAACCUGCCCUAUGCUGGGGGAUAACCUCGGGAAACUGAGAAUAAUACCCCAUAGUUCACCACGCCUGGAACGGUUGGUGGACAAAAGCUCCGGCGGCAUAGGAUGGGCCUGCGGCGUAUCAGGUUGUAGGGGGUGUAAUGUACCCUCUAGCCCUCUACGCGUACGGGUGUUGAGAGACAUCGCCCGGAGAUGGAUUCUGAGACACGAAUCCAGACCCUACGGGGUGCAGCAGGCGCGAAAACUUGGCAAUGCGAGAAAUCGUGACCAGGGAACUCCAAGUGCAUCGGGUAAGACCGAUGCUUUUCUUGACUCUUCAAAGGUCUUGGAAUAAGGGGUGGGUAAGGACGGUGCCAGCCGCCGCGGUAAUACCGGCGCCCCAAGUGGUAGUCGCUUUUAUUGGGCCUAAAACGUCCGUAGCCGGUCUGGUACAUUCGUGGGUAAAUCAACCGGCUCAACUGGUUGAAUUCUGCGAGCACGGCCAGACUUGGGACCGGGAGAGGUGUGGGGUACUCUCAGGGUAGGGGUAAAAUCCUGUCAUCCUGAGAGGACCACCUGUUGCGAAGGCGCCACACUAGAACGGAUCCGACGGUCAGGGACGAAGCCUAGGGGCACGAACCGGAUUAGAUACCCGGGUAGUCCUAGGUGUAAACGCUGUGGACUUGAUGUUGGGGGCGCUCCGAGCGCACUCAGUGUCGAAGCGAAGGUGAUAAGUCCACUGCCUGGGGAGUACGGUCGCAAGGCUGAAACUUAAAGGAAUUGGCGGGGGAGCACCGCAACCUGAGGAUUGUGCG